GGCUUGUGAAGAUCUGUGUUGAGCUCUUCCAGGUUUCCAUCGGUUUUCUCAUUGAAGAGUCCCUUGGCAUCAAAGGGUUUUGAAGAAGUAGUUGAAGAGGAUUUCGGCAUCGAUGAAGAUUUCUUCACAGAAAUUGAUUUCUUAGGUGGUUUAUCUGAAGUUUUGCUAACUGAAGGUUGAAGGGAGACAUUGGCAUCUGAACGGGGGGUAGCCGAAGGCGAUGAGAUUUCCAUUUCUGACAGUUUGGAUGAUGAUAAAGUAGAGUCCCAAAUGUGAUAUUUAAGUCUCUACUGCCUUGCUUUUAAAACUGCUUUGGUAAAGCUUUUACAAUGUUUGCAGGACUGAGUUAGGUGAGCCUCUCCUAAACAAAAAAGACAAUGAUCAUGUCUGUCAUGGAAAAGAAGUUUUCUAGAGCAAACCAUGCAGCAGCUGAAUGGACCUGAGGGGGACAUAAGGUAGCGAAAGUCAAUUUUGCCUUACUUGGAACUUUGGCGCAGCGGAGUGAAAAGGUGGGAAGAAUAGGAAAAAAUCCGAAGUGACCAAGUUAGUAGAGCGAAGCAGCAUGAGUGGUCAAAACACAGUCCAUGUUGGGGAAAUAGAUAUUAGAAUAGUUGAGGAUGAAACCAGAUCGAAAAACCGUAGAAUUCAGUCAGAAAAUUGAAAAAAAUAGCAAGCUCGAUGUGAGAGGUUCCAAAUCGCUCAGCGGAAAAAUGGAACUGAGGCUUUGGCGGGCAGAGCAUGUGCAUUAGAGGCAAAUUAACUUGUUAUUUUUCUAUUCAAAGCUCGAGAAGAUUCCGAGAGGUCCAGCGCAGG
Molecule: non-coding RNA, 813 nt
Organism: Pogona vitticeps (central bearded dragon)
Lineage: Eukaryota; Metazoa; Chordata; Lepidosauria; Squamata; Agamidae
Source: RefSeq, a predicted model, not a curated record